UGUGAAGAAGGUCUUCGGAUUGUAAAGCACUUUAAGUGGGGAGGAAGGGCAGUUACCUAAUACGUAAUUGUUUUGACGUAACCGACAGAAUAAGCACCGGCUAACUCUGUGCCAGCAGCCGCGGUAAUACAGAGGGUGCAAGCGUAAAUCGGAAUUACUGGGCGUAAAGCGCGCGUAGGUGGUUUGUUAAGUUGGAUGUGAAAUCCCCGGGCUCAACCUGGGAACUGCAUUCAAAACUGACUGACUAGAGUAUGGUAGAGGGUGGUGGAAUUUCCUGUGUAGCGGUGAAAUGCGUAGAUAUAGGAAGGAACACCAGUGGCGAAGGCGACCACCUGGGACUAAUACUGACACUGAGGUGCGAAAGCGUGGGGAGCAAACAGGAUUAGAUNCCCUGGUAGUCCACGCCGUAAACGAUGUCAACNAGCCGUCGGAAGCCUUGAGCUUUUAGUGGCGCAG
RNAcentral lists this ribosomal RNA (456 nucleotides) under Pseudomonas sp. 28-17. RNAcentral describes it as "bacterial SSU rRNA". It matches the Rfam family "Bacterial small subunit ribosomal RNA", at positions 404 to 851 of the family's 1533-position model. The record is from RNAcentral. Lineage: Bacteria; Pseudomonadati; Pseudomonadota; Gammaproteobacteria; Pseudomonadales; Pseudomonadaceae.